RNAcentral lists this ribosomal RNA (505 nucleotides) under uncultured bacterium. RNAcentral describes it as "partial 16S ribosomal RNA". It matches the Rfam family "Bacterial small subunit ribosomal RNA", at positions 29 to 507 of the family's 1533-position model. The record is from RNAcentral.
UACGAACGCUGGCGGCGUGCCUAAUACAUGCAAGUAGAACGCACAGUUUAUACCGUAGCUUGCUACACCAUAGACUGUGAGUUGCGAACGGGUGAGUAACGCGUAGGUAACCUGCCUGGUAGCGGGGGAUAACUAUUGGAAACGAUAGCUAAUACCGCAUAAUAUUAAUUAUUGCAUGAUAAUUGAUUGAAAGAUGCAACUGCAUCACUACCAGAUGGACCUGCGUUGUAUUAGCUAGUAGGUGAGGUAACGGCUCACCUAGGCGACGAUACAUAGCCGACCUGAGAGGGUGAUCGGCCACACUGGGACUGAGACACGGCCCAGACUCCUACGGGAGGCAGCAGUAGGGAAUCUUCGGCAAUGGACGAAAGUCUGACCGAGCAACGCCGCGUGAGUGAAGAAGGUUUUCGGAUCGUAAAGCUCUGUUGUAAGAGAAGAACGGGUGUGAGAGUGGAAAGUUCACACUGUGACGGUAUCUUACCAGAAAGGGACGGCUAACUACGUG